This 669-nucleotide ribosomal RNA is filed under the name Promicromonospora sp. RNAcentral's name for it is "bacterial SSU rRNA". It matches the Rfam family "Bacterial small subunit ribosomal RNA", at positions 56 to 742 of the family's 1533-position model. Lineage: Bacteria; Bacillati; Actinomycetota; Actinomycetes; Micrococcales; Promicromonosporaceae. The record is from RNAcentral.
UGCAGUCGACGAUGAGCCUAGCUUGCUGGGUGGAUUAGUGGCGAACGGGUGAGUAACACGUGAGCAACCUGCCCCUGACUUUGGGAUAACUGCUGGAAACGGUAGCUAAUACUGGAUAUGACUGAUCAUCGCAUGGUGGUUGGUGGAAAGUUUUUCGGUUGGGGAUGGGCUCGCGGCCUAUCAGCUUGUUGGUGGGGUAAUGGCCUACCAAGGCGAUGACGGGUAGCCGGCCUGAGAGGGCGACCGGCCACACUGGGACUGAGACACGGCCCAGACUCCUACGGGAGGCAGCAGUGGGGAAUAUUGCACAAUGGGCGAAAGCCUGAUGCAGCGACGCCGCGUGAGGGAUGACGGCCUUCGGGUUGUAAACCUCUUUCAGUAGGGAAGAAGCGUAAGUGACGGUACCUGCAGAAGAAGCGCCGGCUAACUACGUGCCAGCAGCCGCGGUAAUACGUAGGGCGCAAGCGUUGUCCGGAAUUAUUGGGCGUAAAGAGCUUGUAGGCGGUUUGUCACGUCUGGUGUGAAAACCCACCGCUCAACGGUGGGCUUGCAUCGGGUACGGGCAGGCUAGAGUAUGGUAGGGGAAACUGGAAUUCCUGGUGUAGCGGUGAAAUGCGCAGAUAUCAGGAGGAACACCGAUGGCGAAGGCAGGUUUCUGGGCCAUUACUG